Molecule: ribosomal RNA, 430 nt
Filed under: uncultured bacterium
Lineage: Bacteria
Description: bacterial SSU rRNA
Rfam family: Bacterial small subunit ribosomal RNA
Source: RNAcentral
GUGGGGAAUAUUGCGCAAUGGGGGAAACCCUGACGCAGCAACGCCGCGUGGAGGAUGAAGGCUCUCGGGUCGUAAACUCCUGUCAGGUGGGAAGAAAAGGUUUCGGUUAAUACCCGGAGCUGUUGACGGUACCACCAGAGGAAGGUCCGGCUAACUCCGUGCCAGCAGCCGCGGUAAUACGGAGGGACCGAACGUUAUUCGGAAUCAUUGGGCGUAAAGGGCGCGUAGGCGGCUUAGAAAGUCAAAGGUGAAAUCCCUCGGCCCAACCGAGGAACUGCCUUUGAAACUGCUUGGCUUGAGGCCGGGAGAGGGUAGCGGAAUUCCCAGUGUAGCGGUGAAAUGCGUAGAUAUUGGGAGGAACACCAGUGGCGAAGGCGGCUACCUGGACCGGUUCUGACGCUGAUGUGCGAAAGCGUGGGGAGCAAACAGG